This is a long non-coding RNA of Mesocricetus auratus (golden hamster), 3494 nucleotides long. RefSeq lists it as uncharacterized. The transcript is spliced from 2 exons. NCBI's taxonomy places the organism in Eukaryota, Metazoa, Chordata, Mammalia, Rodentia, Cricetidae. The record is from RefSeq and is a predicted model, not a curated record.
GUCUGUGUCUGUAUGUCUGUGUAUCUGUGUGUGUAUGUAUAUGUGUGUCUGUGUAUCUAUGUGUGUGUGUGUGUGUGUGUGUCUGUGUACAGGGGGAGAGAGCGGGGCACACAUUUAUUCUAUACUUCCUAUUUCAGUCCAGCACUACCGCACUUACUUCAUUUCCCACUUGUGGUAUCUGUGCCUCUCCUCUCACAGUGAGAAGUCUGCUUCCCAUUACCGCCAGGUAAUGAGUACUUAGUCCUAGAACAUGGCAGGCAGGUCACUGCAGAGAACAACGCCACCACUGAUAAUUAACUCCUUUUUGUUUCCUCCUUUUUGUCUGAGGGUUUAGGUCAAAACACCCCUACUUAAAACUUACUUCCGUUAAUCCUGCCUUCCAUGCUCUUCAAUUGAGUGUUAUUCUUUUGAAAUAAGCUUUAGCUUUUUUAUUCCUACUCCAUGUUGUGCCCGGCCCAGCACAUUCUUCCAACUCUACAGUUUUCCUCUUUUGUUUGUACAUUUAGCAAAACUCAUAAGUCUUCACUAAGUGAAAGGUUCACCCAGAGUGCAGUCAAAACCACAGAUUCCACCAACCCUGUAGGUCACUGCUGGAAGCAGGAAGAUUAUGAAUUCAAAGUCACACUCCACUACACAGAGGGCUGGGCUAUAUGAGAUCUUGUCUUUAAAAAAGAAAAAAAAAUGUGUGUGUGUUCUGUAUUCUGGAUUUGUGUCUAGGGCUCAAUUUCUGGCAGUAAUAAUAAUAAUAGUAAAUAUUAGAAAACGCUUUGUAUCAGGCUAUAGAAGUCUUACUUUUUGUUUGUUUGUUUGUUUGUUUUUCGAGACAGGAUUUCUCUGUGGCUUUGGAGCCUGUCCUGGAACUCUGUAGACCAGGCUGGCCUCGAACUCACAGAGAUCCGCCUGCCUCUGCCUCCCGAGUUCUGGGAUUAAAGGCAGACACCACCAACGCCUGGCUAGUCUUACUUAUUUUUACAGUUGUAUAUUAAAUGUUACCAGUGUCAAAGACUAGGCCCCAGCAAUCCUAAUAAGCUAGGCUUGGCCACCUGUCCACCAUAAGCCAAAUAAAGAGACAAACAGAGUGAAAAGCAGAGAAUAUUUCUUCAAGUAGCUACAUUGGGAAAAGGAAUAAGCAAAGAGGUCCAGUAGCUCCUCAUGUCCAUCUUCAGGUGACUGACAAGCAGUUUAGCUGAAACAAAGGUCAGGAGGACUGCAUACCUAAGUAUUCCUGGUCGAGGUGUGUCUCCGGAAUCACUUGGUCCAUCAUUGUCUUGGCUCCAAUCUGUCUUGCAAGGUGGACUGACAAGCAGCCCAAUUGGGAAACUCCUUCCUGGAUUACAAGUUCUUCCUCCGGCUGCCCUCGGGUGUCACAGUCCUAAAGUGCGCCUUUGGGAAAACCUCUUAGGACGAGGCCUUGUCAAAAGUAUCAGGUACCUGUGUACAGGUGAGAUGACAGACACCCGAGUUAAAUCCCCAAAACGUCGUACACGGCAGAUGGAUGGACAGAACCAGCUCCUGUAAGUUGUUCUGCGUGCACACACACACACAGAACACAAAUGUGGGGUGGUGGGGUUCACCAAACCUCCUAACCCUACAACCUUUCAUUCAGGGGGAGCUGUAUUAAGGGCCCAAGCCUUAGGAAGAUUGAGAAGCACCGAGAACUACCGCCCUAGAUGGAAGGGUGUUCAGGGUGAGGGACUCAGAGGAGUCAAAGCCUCACCCCUCUGGAUGCCCUGUCCUGCACCCUCCCAAAGUCCCCCACCCCAGAACCCUGCCCUAACUGGGUUUUCUACAGGCUUCACUGUGCACUGUCAAAAAAAAAAAAAAGCCCACAGUGAAUUUAGUCACAGUUUAGUGUGAGAUUCAUGAAUGGAGAGCAAGUCUCCGUUUUUUUUUUUUUUUUUUUUUCCUUUCUGAAAGGAAUGAGGAGCUACCCGCCCUCCCCGGGGCCGUGCAGAACUGGUGGGGUUUGUGAGGCGGGAACAAGGAAACAGAAAAACAAGAACACCUGAUUAGCAUCCACCAGAUCAGUGUUUUUCUGAGGGCUAAAGUGGAAAGCACUUCCUCCUGGAGCCAACUGGAGGAGACUGGAACCUCCAAUUUUGAGGAGAAAACUGGUCCUUUAAGGAAACUGCUCCUUUGAAGCUUCAGUUCCGGUUAGGAUGAAUGGCUCUAUUCCGGCGUGGUCCAGUAAGGACACAAGGCACCAAGAAGUCACUUUUGCUAAAAAGCAGCAACCCCUCGCCUGAGCCUCCGGGGAGGAGGAGCAGGUGAAAGUCUGGCCUCUGCCUUCCACUCUAGGCCACCUUGCUUUUUUUUUUUUUUUUUUUUUUUUGCCAAAGGCAACAGAGAUGAAUCAUUGUCCUUAACUUUCCCUCCUGUGACCCUUUGUAUUCUAGAAACGACAGAACCUCCUCCCCAACCCCCACCCCGACAGGACAGAGGGCUCCUUUCCCCAGGUGAGGGCAGCUCUCUGUGAAGGUGAGGCUGCCUUCUGGAGAACUAACUAACUACUCGGUCCCCUCAAGCAACAAGGACUUCCUUAGAUCACCUGGGAGACAGGAGAUGAACAAGACACACCUAGACCAGGACUCUAAUUACACACCUCUCCUCCCUCUAGUCUCCCUCUAUGUAAACCUAAAGUUCAAGACGGAGCCUUGAAGCAAGGUGGCUCUGCAUUAGUCUCAUCUCUCUGCUCUCUAUCGUUUCUUGUUUUUGAUUGGCCAUGGGGGAGGGAAGAGUUGACUGAGCAUAGUUUUUCCCCCCUUUGGGCAGGGGACAGCAGCUCAAGCACUGUUAACUUAAAACUCUGGGAACAGUUAUGUUGGGCCCUAGUACAGGAGCUGGGCCCCUACAGUGACCUGUCACACUUGCUGAGGAGGCAUCAGAUCCAGAGCUGUUAGGUCAAAUCCUGGAAGCCCUUCACAAGCAAGGUUCAGCUACCUGUCCCAGUCAGCAGGUAAAGAAACAGGUAGUAGUGAAAGAGAAAACUAAUUUGGUUCCUGCCAACACAUUAGGGAAAAAAACCGAAGAGACCUAGUAAACUCUCUUCCUAAUCCAAGCUCACCUUUGGGGUCCUGACACAGGUUUGGAGGUAAACAGAGGGCUCGGGGCAUGCAUACGAAUCAUGAAACAGUCCCAGUCACUGGGUGUGGUCACGCCCAUCACUGACAACCAUUAUCCCAACUUCCCCUUCCAGUCUACUAGACAAGUCAAUACUGUCUGACAUCUUUCUCCCCCAGAGAAAAUCUCACCCUAUCGCCGACACCAGGACACUAUCCUUUUUCUUCUUAUCCUUUGGAGAGUCCAAGGGUUUUUUUUGUAGUUGUACGCCAGGAAAUGAAGGCCAAAUGUCUCUUUCACAAUGUCACAUUGGAGAAAUCUGGUGCACAGACAUAGAAACCAACCUCCUUUACUGGUGACUUCCUUAUCUCCUGACUGUAAGGCCUGGCUGAGCUUCCAGCCCCCAUGCAUUACAGAUUUACUACAAGCUGUUA